GGGCAUGUGAUGUCAAAAUAUUCCGUCUGAAUGUUGGUGAUGUGUUCAAAGGAACCACUGAUGCCC
Small nucleolar RNA from Syngnathoides biaculeatus (alligator pipefish), 66 nucleotides. RefSeq annotates it as small nucleolar RNA SNORD42. The record is from RefSeq and is a predicted model, not a curated record. The transcript has a single exon. Lineage: Eukaryota; Metazoa; Chordata; Actinopteri; Syngnathiformes; Syngnathidae.